GCAUCAGUGGUUCAGUGGUAGGAUUCUCGCCUUCCAUGGAGAGACCUGGGUUCAAUUCCUGGCCAAUGCA
RNAcentral lists this transfer RNA (70 nucleotides) under Loxodonta africana (African savanna elephant). It matches the Rfam family "tRNA". From Rfam's summary of the family: Transfer RNA (tRNA) molecules are approximately 80 nucleotides in length. Their secondary structure includes four short double-helical elements and three loops (D, anti-codon, and T loops). Lineage: Eukaryota; Metazoa; Chordata; Mammalia; Proboscidea; Elephantidae. The record is from Rfam by way of RNAcentral.